Molecule: ribosomal RNA, 1477 nt
Filed under: metagenome
Description: bacterial SSU rRNA
Rfam family: Bacterial small subunit ribosomal RNA
Source: RNAcentral
AGAGUUUGAUCCUGGCUCAGGAUGAACGCUAGCGGCAGGCUUAACACAUGCAAGUCGAACGGUAAGGCCCUUUCGGGGGUACACGAGUGGCGCACGGGUGAGUAACGCGUAUGCAACCUACCUUGAACUGGAGGAUAGCCCUAGGAAACUGGGAUUAAUACUCCAUAAUAUUAUAAUUUCACCUGUUAUUAUAAUUAAAGCUCCGGCGGUUUAAGAUGGGCAUGCGUGCCAUUAGUUUGUUGGUGAGGUAACGGCUCACCAAGACUACGAUGGCUAGGGGGUCUUAAAGGAUGGUCCCCCACACUGGUACUGAGACACGGACCAGACUCCUACGGGAGGCAGCAGUGAGGAAUAUUGGUCAAUGGGCGCAAGCCUGAACCAGCCAUGCCGCGUGCAGGAUUGACUGCCCUAUGGGUUGUAAACUGCUUUUCUGAGGGAAGAAACCUCCGAUCGUGAUCGGAGCUGCCGGUACCUCAGGAAUAAGCAUCGGCUAACUCCGUGCCGGCAGCUGCGGUAAUACGGAGGAUGCAAGCGUUAUCCGGAUUUAUUAGGUUUAAAGGGUGCGUAGGCGGGGUAUUAAGUCAGUGGUGAAAUCUUGCCGCUUAACGGUAAAAUUGCCAUUGAAACUGAUAUUCUUGAGUGUAGUUAGGUGGGCGGAAUGUGUAGUGUAGCGGUGAAAUGCUUAGAUAUUACACAGAACACCAAUUGCGAAGGCAGCUCACUAAACUAUCACUGACGCUGAUGCACGAAAGCGUGGGGAGCGAACAGGAUUAGAUACCCUGGUAGUCCACGCUGUAAACGAUGAUCACUCGUUGUUCGCAAUACAUCGUGAGCGACUGAGCGAAAGCAUUAAGUGAUCCACCUGGGGAGUACGUCGGCAACGAUGAAACUCAAAGGAAUUGACGGGGGCCCGCACAAGCGGAGGAACAUGUGGUUUAAUUCGAUGAUACGCGAGGAACCUUACCUGGGCUUAAAUGCAGAACGACGUACCGGGAAACUGGUAUUUCCUUCGGGACGGACUGCAAGGUGCUGCAUGGUUGUCGUCAGCUCGUGCCGUGAGGUGUCGGGUUAAGUCCCAUAACGAGCGCAACCCCUAUUGUUAGUUGCCAGCGGAUAAUGCCGGGGACUCUAACGAGACUGCCAUCGUAAGAUGGAGGAAGGUGGGGAUGACGUCAAAUCAGCACGGCCCUUAUGUCCAGGGCUACACACGUGUUACAAUGGUCAGUACAAAGGGCAGCUACCUGGUGACAGGAUGCUAAUCUCAAAAACUGGUCUUAGUUCGGAUCGUAGUCUGCAAUUCGACUACGUGAAGUUGGAUUCGCUAGUAAUCGCGCAUCAGCCAUGGCGCGGUGAAUACGUUCCCGGGCCUUGUACACACCGCCCGUCAAGCCAUGGAAGCCGGGGGUGCCUGAAGUUCGUAACCGCAAGGAGCGACCUAGGGUAAAACUGGUAACUGGGGCUAAGUCGUAACAAGGUA